UACGUAGGUGGCAAGCGUUAUCCGGAUUUACUGGGUGUAAAGGGCGUGUAGGCGGGGACGCAAGUCAGAUGUGAAAACCACGGGCUCAACCUGUGGCCUGCAUUUGAAACUGUGUUUCUUGAGUACUGGAGAGGCAGACGGAAUUCCUAGUGUAGCGGUGAAAUGCGUAGAUAUUAGGAGGAACACCAGUGGCGAAGGCGGUCUGCUGGACAGCAACUGACGCCGAGGCGCGAAAGCGUGGGGAGCAAACAGG
Molecule: ribosomal RNA, 253 nt
Filed under: uncultured bacterium
Lineage: Bacteria
Description: partial 16S ribosomal RNA
Rfam family: Bacterial small subunit ribosomal RNA
Source: RNAcentral